AACGCGAAGAACCUUACCCAGGCUCGAAAUGUAGAGGACGAUAUCAGAGAUGAUAUUUUCCGCAAGGACUUUUAUAUAGGUGCUGCAUGGCUGUCGUCAGCUCGUGCCGUGAGGUGUUGGGUUAAGUCCCGCAACGAGCGCAACCCUUAUCAUUAGUUGCCAACACGCGAGGUGGGGACUCUAAUGAGACUGCCUGGGUUAACCAGGAGGAAGGUGAGGAUGAUGUCAAGUCCGCAUGGCCUUUAUGUCUGGGGCUACACACGUGCUACAAUGGUCGGUACAGAAGGCAGCAAGACCGCAAGGUGGAGCAAAUCCGUAAAGCCGAUCACAGUUCAGAUUGUAGUCUGCAACUCGACUACAUGAAGUUGGAAUUGCUAGUAAUGACGUGUCAGCAACAACGUCGUGAAUACGUUCCCGGGCCUUGUACACACCGACGCAC
RNAcentral lists this ribosomal RNA (439 nucleotides) under uncultured bacterium. RNAcentral describes it as "bacterial SSU rRNA". It matches the Rfam family "Bacterial small subunit ribosomal RNA", at positions 958 to 1398 of the family's 1533-position model. The record is from RNAcentral.